GGGAGUGUAGCUCAGUUGGUAGAGCAACGGACUUUUAAUCCGUAGGUCUAGGGUUCAAGUCCCUACGCUCCUA
This 73-nucleotide transfer RNA is filed under the name Pirellulaceae bacterium. RNAcentral describes it as "tRNA-Lys". It matches the Rfam family "tRNA". Rfam says of the family: Transfer RNA (tRNA) molecules are approximately 80 nucleotides in length. Their secondary structure includes four short double-helical elements and three loops (D, anti-codon, and T loops). Further hydrogen bonds mediate the characteristic L-shaped molecular structure. tRNAs have two regions of fundamental functional importance: the anti-codon, which is responsible for specific mRNA codon recognition, and the 3' end, to which the tRNAs corresponding amino acid is attached (by aminoacyl-tRNA synthetases). tRNAs cope with the degeneracy of the genetic code in two manners: having more than one tRNA (with a specific anti-codon) for a particular amino acid; and 'wobble' base-pairing, i.e. permitting non-standard base-pairing at the 3rd anti-codon position. The record is from RNAcentral. Lineage: Bacteria; Pseudomonadati; Planctomycetota; Planctomycetia; Pirellulales; Pirellulaceae.